GCGCUCACUUCGGCAGCACACAUACUAACUAAAAUUGUAACAAUAUAGAGAAGAUUAGCAUGGCCCCUGUGCAAGGAUGACAUGCAAAUCUGUGAAGCGUUCCAUAUUUUU
This 111-nucleotide small nuclear RNA is filed under the name Echinops telfairi (small Madagascar hedgehog). Lineage: Eukaryota; Metazoa; Chordata; Mammalia; Afrosoricida; Tenrecidae. The record is from RNAcentral.